Molecule: ribosomal RNA, 651 nt
Filed under: uncultured Acidobacteriota bacterium
Lineage: Bacteria; Pseudomonadati; Acidobacteriota
Description: bacterial SSU rRNA
Rfam family: Bacterial small subunit ribosomal RNA
Source: RNAcentral
AGAGUUUGAUCCUGGCUCAGAAUCAACGCUGGCGGCGUGCCUAACACAUGCAAGUCGAACGAGAAAGCGGGGGCAACCCCGUGAGUACAGUGGCGAACGGGUGAGUAACACGUGACUAACCUGCCUUCGAGCGGGGGAUAACCCCGGGAAACCGGGGCUAACACCGCAUAACAUCCCAAGGUGAAACUCCUUGUGAUCAAAUGCGCAAGCAGCUGGAAGAGGGGGUCGCGCCUGAUUAGCUAGUUGGUGAGGUAACGGCUCACCAAGGCGAUGAUCAGUAGCCGGCCUGAGAGGGCGCACGGCCACACUGGAACUGAAACACGGUCCAGACUCCUACGGGAGGCAGCAGUGGGGAAUUUUGCGCAAUGGGGGAAACCCUGACGCAGCAACGCCGCGUGGAGGAUGAAGUCCCUUGGGACGUAAACUCCUUUCGACCGGGACGAAUAAAUGACGGUACCGGUGGAAGAAGCCCCGGCUAACUUCGUGCCAGCAGCCGCGGUAAUACGAGGGGGGCGAGCGUUGUUCGGAAUUAUUGGGCGUAAAGGGCGCGUAGGCGGUGCGGUAAGUCACCUGUGAAACCCCCGGGCUCAACUCGGGGCCUGCANGCGAAACUGCCGUGCUGGAGUGCGGAAGAGGUGAGUGGAAUUCCCG